AAACGCCCCUACAGUUUAUAUUUAAAAAGUAAUCUUCGUAUUAGUGACGGUUUGCAGGGGCGGUUAAUUGAUUGUUCAAUUCCUGGAACUUGUUUGCAAGAUAUCAGUGCAUAUGCGUUAGAAGAUAGUCCAAGGUCCAGGAUUUCCUGGGUGAUGAUUUGAAAAGCCAGAGCUCACACGUUCCUUAUAAUGUUGCAGACUUCUCCACUCAGGUAUGGUUACUCAUGCAGCAUAAUGUAAUGCAUUACAAAUUUCCAGAUUUAUUCUAUGCAUCAUAAGUCCAGUAAAUGUUUAUUAUAAAACAUAUUAACUCUUUCAAUGAUAUGUAGACUUCUAUCAGAUCGGGGAUACAGAGUCACUAUGGAAUUCUGUCUUAAUCAGGGUCUUUCAAUGAUAUUAACUGUUUUUCUUGUUGCUUAAUUUCUGUUUAUCAUGAUUGUGAAUUCAAUUAUAGCGCAUCUUAUAACAUCAUAGCCGGAAAAGCACCUGUAAUUGACGAUGCAGAGCAGCAGAAAUGAGACGGUUAUAACCACGGGACUAGAAAGACGGGCCAGAAACGCCAGUCAACAAAAGGUCCAUCACGGCCUCAUACAAUUCAGGAGCAGAGCGGACCGAUUUCACACCAUGACAUAGACAAAAGAAGGGAGCUGCUCGUAGUUCGGUUUUUGAACCUGGUAGAGUAUGGAAAAUAUUUGUGUGCUUCCUCUGAUAGUCAUAAUUGGAUCUCUAGUCACAAACAUAGAACGCAGAAGACAACGGAAAAUAACACAGAGAUUAUUUUAUCCAGUGAACGAUCCUUGAAGCCAAGAAGAUAGUUUGCUUCUUUUUCAGUUAAUUCAUGUAUUAUGAGUUUCAAUUGAUUAAUUAUAAGAAUGUUUUAAGCAAAAUUAAUCAAUUUAAUUAUU
This is a long non-coding RNA of Mercurialis annua (annual mercury), 905 nucleotides long. RefSeq lists it as uncharacterized. The record is from RefSeq and is a predicted model, not a curated record. Lineage: Eukaryota; Viridiplantae; Streptophyta; Magnoliopsida; Malpighiales; Euphorbiaceae. The transcript has 5 exons.